This 253-nucleotide ribosomal RNA is filed under the name uncultured bacterium. Its description in RNAcentral is "partial 16S ribosomal RNA". It matches the Rfam family "Bacterial small subunit ribosomal RNA", at positions 524 to 776 of the family's 1533-position model. The record is from RNAcentral.
UACGUAGGGUGCAAGCGUUAAUCGGAAUUACUGGGCGUAAAGCGUGCGCAGGCGGUUUCGUAAGUCUGUCGUGAAAUCCCCGGGCUUAACCUGGGAAUGGCGAUGGAGACUGCGAGGCUAGAGUUUGGCAGAGGGGGGUAGGAUUCCACGUGUAGCAGUGAAAUGCGUAGAGAUGUGGAGGAACACCGAUGGCGAAGGCAGCCCCCUGGGUCAAAACUGACGCUCAUGCACGAAAGCGUGGGGAGCAAACAGG